Molecule: ribosomal RNA, 597 nt
Filed under: Phyllobacterium sp. TWS-35
Lineage: Bacteria; Pseudomonadati; Pseudomonadota; Alphaproteobacteria; Hyphomicrobiales; Phyllobacteriaceae
Description: bacterial SSU rRNA
Rfam family: Bacterial small subunit ribosomal RNA
Source: RNAcentral
CGCAGUGGAGAAUCUACCCUUUUCUACGGAACAACUGAGUGGAAACUUCAAUCUUUUACCGUAUCCUGUCGAGAGGCCCAAGAUUUAUCGGAGAAGGAUGAGCCCGCGUUGGAUUAGCUAGUUGGUGGGGUAAAGGCCUACCAAGGCGACGAUCCAUAGCUGGUCUGAGAGGAUGAUCAGCCACACUGGGACUGAGACACGGCCCAGACUCCUACGGGAGGCAGCAGUGGGGAAUAUUGGACAAUGGGCGCAAGCCUGAUCCAGCCAUGCCGCGUGAGUGAUGAAGGUCUUAGGAUUGUAAAGCUCUUUCACCGGUGAAGAUAAUGACGGUAACCGGAGAAGAAGCCCCGGCUAACUUCGUGCCAGCAGCCGCGGUAAUACGAAGGGGGCUAGCGUUGUUCGGAUUUACUGGGCGUAAAGCGCACAUAGGCGGACUAUUAAGUCAGGGGUGAAAUCCCGGGGCUCAACCCCGGAACUGCCUUUGAUACUGGUAGUCUUGAGUUCCAGAGAGGUGAGUGGGAAUUCCGAGUGUAGAGGUGAAACUUCGUAGAUAUUCGGAGGAACACCAGUGGCGAAAGGCCGCUCCCUGGCUCGAUC